CGGGGGGAGCAAGCGUUGUUCGGAUUUACUGGGCGUAAAGGGCGCGUAGGCGGUCAGCACAAGUCAGUUGUGAAAUCUCAGGGCUUAACUCGGAAAGGUCAACUGAUACUGUGCGACUAGAGUGCAGAAGGGGCAACUGGAAUUCUCGGUGUAGCGGUGAAAUGCGUAGAUAUCGAGAGGAACACCUGCGGCGAAGGCGGGUUGCUGGGCUGACACUGACGCUGAUGCGCGAAAGCCAGGGGAGCGAACGGGAUUAGAUACCCCGGUAGUCCUGGCCUUAAACGAUGGAUGCUUGGUGUCUGGAGUUUUAUAGUCUCCGGGUGCCGUAGCUAACGCGUUAAGCAUCCCGCCUGGGGAGUACGGUCGCAAGACUG
This 374-nucleotide ribosomal RNA is filed under the name uncultured organism. RNAcentral's name for it is "bacterial SSU rRNA". It matches the Rfam family "Bacterial small subunit ribosomal RNA", at positions 526 to 896 of the family's 1533-position model. The record is from RNAcentral.